Non-coding RNA from Megalopta genalis, 1423 nucleotides. The record is from RefSeq and is a predicted model, not a curated record. NCBI's taxonomy places the organism in Eukaryota, Metazoa, Arthropoda, Insecta, Hymenoptera, Halictidae.
GGAAACGGUGACCUUGACAAAAAUUUGGUGCCAAGAAAGACUGAUUGGAUAGUCAUGUCUGGAGAUAAGUGAAUGGUUUACUAUUAAAAGGCAACGGCUAGCGGAAACCGUUCAAUGACCAUCGGCGCUGCAAUACGACGGUCCACAUAACAACACAGAAUCUAAGAACCACGGGCUGUUGCACACUUUCUAUUGCAGUCGACGUAACCACGCAGGAGUAACGCACUCUAAUAUAUAAUUGCAUCAGGAUAGCAAAAUGGUAAUUGGGCAUGUGCACGCAAUUGGAUUUCUGCAACCCGGCUGCCCAUUACGUUUUCCACGGUUAUAUAAGUAUUCAAGUAGUUUUUUACAUGGAAAUAAGAAAAUUCUACGAUGCAGUCUCUAAACUGUGUUGCACUAAGUGAUUUGGCGAGAUUGGAUAAUGGAAUUGUUCUUACCUUUGCUGGAUGUUCUAAAAGACUAUCGCUCGAUCGCAAUCGAAGGAAAAGCAGAGUUUAUGACAGUUUAUGGUGGGGAUAACCUACCGUUCUUCAACCAUGGUUAUUUACUAUUCACGGGAUCAUAAUUUACAAUCAAAUAACGGAAAUGACACGUGAUACUUACACGAUUUUUCUCGCAAUUCACGUUGCUCCUGUUACCAGUCAAUAUCUUUGAGAUGGUAGGUGACAUGAUUAGACGAUUUCCUCGUUAGCAACUGUAGCACUCAUUAAAUCGCACUUGUGAAUGCAGCAGAAGAAAAAGAUGUACACCAACGUGUGACAAAAUGCGACAGAGUUACAGCACCUGGAGAGUUUCACUUGUUUAUACACAUGAACUCACUUAUCACCUAUUUCGGGGGCAGCAAUAAAUUAGAACUGCUGCCGGCAAAAGGAAGCAAAGUCCUUUUUGUUUAAACAAAUGUCUCUUUUCGAACGACCGGAGGAACUUUCGCGGGAGAAAUUGGUGGCGAAAAAAAGCCGUUCGAAAGGCGAUGCCCACGUGUGCGACCGGCCAAGUACACUGCUCUGUAGACGUUGGGUAGCCCGCGUACCAAAGCGGAAUACCUACCAGAACCGAGUUUGCUAGGCCGAUCAUGCAAGCCGAUCUCCCUCCAUCGGGAUACCGGUGCUCGGGAAACAGUUUUUUACUUGUCCCCGACCAAAUUCUCCUCUUCAGUCCAUCGACGGAACUGCUAUAGUCGAAAUCUCUGCCUGGAAUUUCCAGCCAAUUCAAUGUCUUCUUUUUCAAUCAGCUUGACAGCAACGUGAAAACAACUUCGUAAAUUUUUUUCACGCUAACCGGAGGCUGUGCGAAUGGUCUAUGUGUAGAAUGAUUCUAAUAUGGACUGUGCUGAAUACGAUGGCAUACAUUUUUACAAUUUUAUAAACCUCUAAGAUUGUUUAAAUAAUAUUUGAAAGGAGCGAGACACCGUAAGCCACACCAA